Molecule: ribosomal RNA, 1433 nt
Filed under: uncultured bacterium
Lineage: Bacteria
Description: bacterial SSU rRNA
Rfam family: Bacterial small subunit ribosomal RNA
Source: RNAcentral
AGAGUUUGAUCCUGGCUCAGAACGUACGCUGGCGGCACGCCUAACACAUGCAAGUCGAACGAAGUAGCAAUACUUAGUGGCAGACGGGUGAGUAACAUGUAGGUAUCUGCCCUUUGGCCUGGAAUAACACGAGGAAACUUGUGCUAAUACCGGAUAAGUCUUUACGGAGAAAGCUUUAUGCACCAUUGGAUGAGCCUGCACUUGAUUAGUUUGUUGGUGGGGUAAUGGCCUACCAAGACUGUGAUCAAUAGCUGAUUUGAGAGGAUGAUCAGCCACAUUGGGACUGAGACACGGCCCAAACUCCUACGGGAGGCAGCAGUGGGGAAUCUUGCACAAUGGAGGAAACUCUGAUGCAGCGAUGCCGCGUGAGUGAAGAAGGCCCUUGGGUUGUAAAGCUCUUUCGUCGGGGAAGAAAAUGACUGUAUCCGAAUAAGAAGGUCCGGCUAACUUCGUGCCAGCAGCCGCGGUAAUACGAAGGGACCUAGCGUAGUUCGGAAUUACUGGGCUUAAAGAGUUCGUAGGUGGUUGAAAAAGUUAGUGGUGAAAUCCCAGAGCUUAACUCUGGAACUGCCAUUAAAACUUUUCAGCUAGAGUAUGAUAGAGGAAAGCAGAAUUUCUAGUGUAGAGGUGAAAUUCGUAGAUAUUAGAAAGAAUACCAAUUGCGAAGGCAGCUUUCUGGAUCAUUACUGACACUGAGGAACGAAAGCAUGGGUAGCGAAGAGGAUUAGAUACCCUCGUAGUCCAUGCCGUAAACGAUGUGUGUUAGACGUUGGAAAUUUAUUUUCAGUGUCGCAGGGAAACCGAUAAACACACCGCCUGGGGAGUACGACCGCAAGGUUAAAACUCAAAUGAAUUGACGGGGACCCGCACAAGUAGUGGAGCAUGUGGUUUAAUUCGAAGAUACGCGCAGAACCUUACCAACACUUGACAUGUUCGUCGCGACUCUAAGAGAUUAGAGUUUUCGGUUCGGCCGGACGAAACACAGGUGCUGCAUGGCUGUCGUCAGCUCGUGUCGUGAGAUGUUGGGUUAAGUCCCGCAACGAGCGCAACCCUCACUUUUAGUUGCCAUCAUUAAGUUGGGCACUCUGAAAGAACUGCCAGUGAUAAGCUGGAGGAAGGUGGGGAUGACGUCAAGUCCUCAUGGCCCUUACGUGUUGGGCUACACACGUGCUACAAUGGUAUCUACAACAGGAAGCAAGACUGCGAAGUUAAGCAAAUCCCUAAAAGAUACCUCAGUUCGGAUUGCACUCUGCAACUCGAGUGCAUGAAGCUGGAAUUACUAGUAAUCGUGGAUCAGCGUGCCACGGUGAAUGCGUUCCCGGGUCUUGUACACACCGCCCGUCACACCAUGGGAGUUGGUUCUACCUUAAGGCAAGGUUUCAAACCCUUGACCACGGUAUAGUCAGCGACUGGGGUGAAGUCGUAACAAGGUA